ACACCGGCAGCCCAAGUGGUGGCCAUUUUUAUUGGGCCUAAAGCGUUCGUAGCCGGCCUGAUAAGUCUCUGGUGAAAUCCCGCAGCUUAACUGUGGGAAUUGCUGGAGAUACUAUCAGGCUUGAGGUCGGGAGAGGUUAGAGGUACUCCCAGGGUAGGGGUGAAAUCCUAUAAUCCUGGGAGGACCACCUGUGGCGAAGGCGUCUAACUGGAACGAACCUGACGGUGAGUAACGAAAGCCAAGGGCGCGAACCGGAUUAGAUACCCGGGUAGUCGUGGCCGUAAACGAUGUGGACGUGGUGUUGGGAUGGCCUCGAGCUGCCCCAGUGCCGAAGGGAAGCUGUUAAGUCCACCGCCUGGGAAGUACGGUCGCAAGACUGAAACUUAAAGGAAUUGGCGGGG
Molecule: ribosomal RNA, 401 nt
Filed under: uncultured bacterium
Lineage: Bacteria
Description: partial 16S ribosomal RNA
Rfam family: Archaeal small subunit ribosomal RNA
Source: RNAcentral